ACCAGUUUUAGUGUUGGGGGCACCAUUCACAUAGAAUAUAAUGUGAAUUUUGAACCCUAGAGAUGCUUCUGUGAACACUUUCCUCCUCCGUGGUCACUUCUGUGCAAAGGAGCAGCCAAUUCUGCAGGCUAAGAGAGGGCAUGGGAAUUUAGAACCACAGCCUGUGCUAUGUUUGCUCCUCCCUGCAGGGUCUUUGAGUGGUGACUGUGCCUCAGGGCUUGGCAGUGGGGACAGUUUGCUGAAAGGAUACAAUCCAGCCACAAUUUACCAUCAUUUAACUUACAAUCAUUUCUUAAUCUCCUAUUCAUUUCAGCAUCUGCAGCAUCCAGCACCCUGAACUUCGUAGGUAUUCAACAGAUGGUGGUUGAAGGAAGGUGCUGAAUGACUGUAGUUUCUCCUAUAUACCUCCUACACAGUGAUGCAUAAGGCACGCUAUACACAUUUGCUACUGAAAUCAGUGACUUUAAAUGCCUGCGGUGUUCUAAACAUAUUGUGGGUCCUCAUGGGAUGGAAGAAAGUGCAUUGGAUUUGAAAUGGGAAUAUUUGGCUCAGGCCCUGGUGGUCUGAUGCCUCUAUGUCUAUUUCACACCAUGUGAGGCAAUUUGCUCCUCAAACAACUACGAGUCUGUGUGGUGCUGCCUACGUAAGUCAGUGUUACCCUUCAUUCUUCCUAAAGCAAGGUUUAUUUAUUUAUAAUUAUUCAACAAACAAUUAUGAAGCUUUGUUAUGCAAAGGGAACUGA
This 742-nucleotide long non-coding RNA is filed under the name Macaca mulatta (Rhesus monkey). Its description in RNAcentral is "lncRNA (ENSMMUG00000053274.1)". The record is from RNAcentral. Lineage: Eukaryota; Metazoa; Chordata; Mammalia; Primates; Cercopithecidae.